UACGUAGGGGGCUAGCGUUGUCCGGAUUUAUUGGGCGUAAAGAGCGCGUAGGUGGCCGAGUAAGUCCGACGUGAAAUCUGGAGGCUCAACCUCCAGCGGUCGUUGGAAACUACUCGGCUAGAGACCGGAAGAGGAGAGUGGAAUUCCUGGUGUAGCGGUGAAAUGCGCAGAUAUCAGGAAGAACACCGAUGGCGAAAGCAGCUCUCUGGGACGGUACUGACGCUGAGGCGCGAAAGCGUGGGGAGCGAACAGG
RNAcentral lists this ribosomal RNA (253 nucleotides) under uncultured bacterium. RNAcentral describes it as "partial 16S ribosomal RNA". It matches the Rfam family "Bacterial small subunit ribosomal RNA", at positions 524 to 776 of the family's 1533-position model. The record is from RNAcentral.